CGGACAGGGAGGCGUUGUGCACCGAGAGGACGCUGCUGUGCGCGUCCGACCGCACGGUGCCCAGACUGGUGUCCAGGCCCCGCCACUGCACCAUGGGGUUCCUGGGGUCGGCGCAGGCUAGCCGGCAGCCUGGCCCCAUUUCUUGGACCUUCGUGGCCGCAUACCCCCCAGCACCCAGAGUGGUUUCAGCAACACCCCAGAGCGAAAUCUCACCGGGGCUGGAGCCUCGCGGGACCCGGAAGCCUCGGGGCCUCGGAGUGGCUGUGUCUUCCCCCUGUUCGUCUCUGCCCAAAUGUUGCCUCCUCGGAGCCUUCGCCAACCAGCUUCACUCCCCCUACCCCAAUUUUACUUUCUCCGAAGUCGUGUGCCUGAAACCACAUUUCCCAUGUCCUGGAGCCGGGUCUCCUGUGCUGUGCGGCCCAGCGCGCGACCCGGGAGCCCGCGCACAGCAGGCAUGCAGAAAGAAGAGGGUGGAGGGUGUGCUUGGGGUUGGCCUCGGGGUGUGGCUUGUGCCUCAGUUUUCCUGGCUUGGGAAUAAGGGAAGGGGCAGCCAGACAAUGAAGAGUUGAACCCCAUGAGCUCUGUGCCUGGCUCUUCUCAGUGUCUCGAUUGUCGGAGGCAGAAGAGGAGGGACUGGAGCAGAGGGGGGAAACUGAGGUCUCGGGGAGGCGAGGGUCCACGUGCGUGAACUCAGAGCCCUGUUCUCGUUGGUCCCAUCCCCCGCUCCAGGCUUGUGCCGGGAAGGGCAGCACAGGAAGGUGGACUGCUAGCCAAGGCCCCUUGCAGGGCGGGCCCUAGCUCUCUGCGCCUGCCUCGCCCACCCAUCCCUGGCCUCCAUGGUGCUUAUUUCAGGCUCCAAGUGCCCUGUCCGUGUGGAUAACGACCUUCACGCUCAAGGACACGCACAGCUCUAAGAGAGCACGAAGGAUGACCUGGUGACACAGGUGCUCCGAGGAAGGGGCAGGAGGAAGUCCUCAGUGGCCAGAGGCAGGAAGCCGCCUUCCCAUGGAGGGUCCCAGCCCCCCCAAGACCUGUCAUCCUGGCCUCAACCCUCCCAUGACAGAGCUGUGAUGGGAACCUGGCCUCCUCAGAGGGUACCCAGGAGAGGCCAGUGGUCCCAGUACCCCAGAGAUGCCCAUCCCCUCCGGGGACACCCUUCUCACCUGGGCUGGGUCAGCUGCCCUCAUUGGUACCACUGGUCGGUCGGGGGCUCACAGCGCCUUCUUCGGGGCGGGCUGGAGCCAUGAGGGCGGGGUGUUUCAUGCUGGACCAUGCCCAGCCCACAGUGGCCUCCCUGCUUCUGCAGGCCUCAGGGAUGGGGCAGGGAGGAAGGGAACGGAAACUGUAAAUGAUCCUUAUUUUGUUUAUUUAUUUUAUUAUUAUAUUUCAUGAAUGAUCCUUUAAUAAAUACCCAUAAGAAGGGUGCCUGGGUGGCUCAGUGGGUUAAAGCCUCUGCCUUCAGCUCAGGUCAUGAUCCCAGGGUCCUGGUAUC
This is a long non-coding RNA of Mustela lutreola (European mink), 1492 nucleotides long. RefSeq lists it as uncharacterized. NCBI's taxonomy places the organism in Eukaryota, Metazoa, Chordata, Mammalia, Carnivora, Mustelidae. The transcript is spliced from 4 exons. The record is from RefSeq and is a predicted model, not a curated record.